UACGUAGGGUGCAAGCGUUAAUCGGAAUUACUGGGCGUAAAGCGUGCGCAGGCGGCCUGUUAAGUCAGAUGUGAAAUCCCCGAGCUCAACUUGGGAACUGCAUUUGAAACUGAUAGGCUAGAGUGUGUCAGAGGGAGGUAGAAUUCCACGUGUAGCAGUGAAAUGCGUAGAGAUGUGGAGGAAUACCAGUGGCGAAGGCGGCCUCCUGGGAUAACACUGACGCUCAUGUACGAAAGCGUGGGGAGCAAACAGG
RNAcentral lists this ribosomal RNA (253 nucleotides) under uncultured bacterium. RNAcentral describes it as "partial 16S ribosomal RNA". It matches the Rfam family "Bacterial small subunit ribosomal RNA", at positions 524 to 776 of the family's 1533-position model. The record is from RNAcentral.